UGAUGGUGGUGAAUUCUCUUUUCCAGGGUCUAAGUGAAGCAUUGGCUAGCUCCCUGAAUGGCUUGGAGAAUGCAUCCCAUAAUUCCAUCAGGCAUGCUUAAGCUGUGCGACUCAGUGUCGUAUUGCAGAUGCCCAGGGACGGGCAUACCCUUCAGAGGGGAGGGUGUAACCCACAUAAAGUGGGGAUAGCCUUUUGGGAAAUAGAGAUUGGGUAGGCGGGGUAGUCUGCCUGGCCAAUGGGAAGUUUGAUUCCCAUGAAUGUUUAGACCAAUCAGAGAGCGGAAUGCCACAGAGGCUCCACCUUCUUUCCCGUGCUGGCAGCGUUGAUUGUGAGCGGGAGAUCCGACCCUGAUCAGACAGCUGAGCCAGAAACCACUAAGAUCAGUUGGAACUGUUGCACUUUCUGGCAGUUGAUUGGCAGUUGUUUUCAGUUCAACUGAAGUGCCCUCCGUGUCUGGAAUGAGAGUCCCUGUCUAGUUGUUUUGAACGUGCUGCACUGAGAUCGAUCAGGUUUUUUUUGUUGUGUUGUUUUUGUUUUUUGCUUUUUCUUCUCUUCUCCUGGAUUGUUCCUGGAGUGGAUUCCUCUACUGACUUUGAUGGCGAGCCUUCCCACCUGGACUUAGAAAGAUCUGGAUUUCCUCCCAUGUUGAGUGAGACCUGAACCAGGAUUUAAUUUGAUUCAUUUGUCAUCUAAAAGAGAUUAGAGUGCAAACUACCAGGGUGCACCCAAUAGAUUUAAAUUUGAUAUUUAGCACUUGGCCAAGUAUUGUUGUUUUUAUUUUAUGUA
Molecule: long non-coding RNA, 787 nt
Organism: Poeciliopsis prolifica (blackstripe livebearer)
Lineage: Eukaryota; Metazoa; Chordata; Actinopteri; Cyprinodontiformes; Poeciliidae
Exons: 4
Source: RefSeq, a predicted model, not a curated record